CUCCUCUUCGGCAUCUCCCCUGUGCCUCGCCGCCGCCGUCCAGCUCCUUCGAUGUCUGCUCGCCACCGCUGGCUAGUCCCCCAAAGUCAGAGCCGACGCCGAGCCCGACCCCUUGCGACAGGCUUUAUUUUCCUCUUCUCCUAUUCUUUCCGGCGUCUCCCUUGUGCCCUUUCGCCACCGUCCAGCUCCUCCGAUGUCUGCUCGCUAGAGUCUCCCAAAGUC
Molecule: long non-coding RNA, 222 nt
Filed under: Elaeis guineensis (African oil palm)
Lineage: Eukaryota; Viridiplantae; Streptophyta; Magnoliopsida; Arecales; Arecaceae
Description: long non-coding RNA (EGUI_LNC008206)
Source: RNAcentral